This 92-nucleotide small RNA is filed under the name Martinezella lusitana. Its description in RNAcentral is "Rhizobium lusitanum sRNA Atu_Ti1". It matches the Rfam family "Rhizobiales sRNA Atu_Ti1". The record is from RNAcentral. Lineage: Bacteria; Pseudomonadati; Pseudomonadota; Alphaproteobacteria; Hyphomicrobiales; Rhizobiaceae.
GUCCAGACUGCGGCGGACCAGAGCCAUAGGCUUAGCAUGACCAAGACGGCUGCCGGCCAAUAGCGCGAUGUCAUCAUUGCCAGGCCGGCGGC